RNAcentral lists this ribosomal RNA (292 nucleotides) under uncultured bacterium. RNAcentral's name for it is "partial 16S ribosomal RNA". It matches the Rfam family "Bacterial small subunit ribosomal RNA", at positions 29 to 334 of the family's 1533-position model. The record is from RNAcentral.
AACGAACGCUGGCGGUAUGCUUAACACAUGCAAGUCGAACGAGUAAGGGCUAGUUUACUAGUACCUGCUAGUGGCUAACGGGUGAGUAACGUGUAGGAGUCUACCUAACAGUAUGGAAUAGCCGUUGGAAACGACGAAUAAUACCAUAUAUACCCUACGGGGGAAAGAUUUAUCGCUGUUAGAUGAGCCUGCAUUAGAUUAGCUUGUUGGUGGGGUAAUGGCCCACCAAGGCUACGAUCUAUAGCUGGUCUGAGAGGAUGAUCAGCCACACUGGAACUGAGACACGGUCCAG